AUGUAUAAUUAUAUUCAGGUAUGUAGUUGUCCAACACAAAAAAAAAGCCCUAUGUUUACUGUCCGAAAUGUUGUUGUCCAGAUAUAUAUUCAGGUAUAUAUUCCGGUAAAAUUUAGUUGUACUCCAGAUAUAUAUUCAGGUAUGACAGUAACAAUACAAUUUUUUUAUGAUACUCCCAUAUUGUUGCAGACAUUGGUGAAAAUUGCAAUGGUCAUCUACUCUGUUUCUGAAUUGGCCAUAUAUUAUGCAAUCCCUCUAUUUCUGAAUUUUGGUUCGUUGCAGAGUUCAUAUAAGUACUCCAUGCAAAAUUGCAAAGUACUACUCCAUGCAAAAUUGUAG
RNAcentral lists this ribosomal RNA (339 nucleotides) under Triticum aestivum (bread wheat). Its description in RNAcentral is "partial small subunit ribosomal RNA". The record is from RNAcentral. Lineage: Eukaryota; Viridiplantae; Streptophyta; Magnoliopsida; Poales; Poaceae.